Molecule: ribosomal RNA, 498 nt
Filed under: uncultured bacterium
Lineage: Bacteria
Description: partial 16S ribosomal RNA
Rfam family: Bacterial small subunit ribosomal RNA
Source: RNAcentral
AUUGAACGCUGGCGGCAUGCCUUACACAUGCAAGUCGAACGGUAACAGGCCGCAAGGUGCUGACGAGUGGCGAGCGGGUGAGUAAUGCAUCGGAACGUGCCCAGUCGUGGGGGAUAACGCAGCGAAAGCUGCGCUAAUACCGCAUACGAUCUAUGGAUGAAAGCGGGGGACCGUAAGGCCUCGCGCGAUUGGAGCGGCCGAUGUCAGAUUAGGUAGUUGGUGGGGUAAAGGCUCACCAAGCCAACGAUCUGUAGCUGGUCUGAGAGGACGACCAGCCACACUGGGACUGAGACACGGCCCAGAUUCCUACGGGAGGCAGCAGUGGGGAAUUUUGGACAAUGGGCGCAAGCCUGAUUCAGCAAUGCCGCGUGCAGGAAGAAGGCCUUCGGGUUGUAAACUGCUUUUGUACGGAACGAAACGGUCCUGGUUAAUACCUGGGGCUAAUGACGGUACCGUAAGAAUAAGCACCGGCUAACUACGUGCCAGCCGCCGCCGUAA